Molecule: microRNA, 18 nt
Filed under: Prunus persica (peach)
Lineage: Eukaryota; Viridiplantae; Streptophyta; Magnoliopsida; Rosales; Rosaceae
Description: microRNA miRNA_320
Source: RNAcentral
UCGCAGGAGAGAUGGCAC